CACUCCGCGGGGUGUGGAGGCGGGGAGGGAGGAGGAGUGAAGGUUGUUUACAAAUUUUACGUACAUACUCAGCACCAUUCGUAAAGUUCUGGAAUUGGUGUUUACAACCUUCGGAUCUAGGGGUGUUCUGAUAACCUGGGUUCCAGUGCCUGGUUUAUGCCCACCCCAGCCAUAACCUUCAGCAGAAUGUUAGGAUUCCUGCGCUUUGGCCCUAGGUCUUGGGGCGGCGAUGACUCACGGCAGCACCCCCUUACCCCCCCGCGCGUCAAACUGCCGUCUCCGCCCACCCCCAAACAAUCUCAACAACGAGCCGAGCCGCAGCCCCUGGCGCUUUGCUGGGGGCUGGAGGGGCUCAUCGUUGUGCUCGUAUCCCAGCAGGCUAAAACCUUCCCAGUCCUACUCUUCAAGCUUGCCUCGUUCCCCCACCGGACCCUUCCGUUGAGCAGUGGAGACAGAUGCGACAUCCCCAACCGGGGACGCAGGAUCCACCAACGACAGCGCUCGGCAGGGGCAGCCAAGUGGCCCGGGCCAUCCAUGGCAUGGAAACCGUUGCCCUGCUAUACGACAGUGAACAAGAAACUGUUUCUGCUCUUGAGGAAUUCAUGUUUGGUGAAACACUUGAAGACAAUGGCCACAGAGGAAAUAUGAAUGCUUGGUUUGCAGGCUUUAAAGCCUGAGAGUCUGCUAAAAAAGUAGAAUCCAGAGAAGUAAAGCUGCUGUGUAAACGUGAGAAAAUCUACAGAGUAGGAGAGUUUCCUGAGGUUUCUGUCAUCACAGCCACGUGAGCCAAUCGUUAGCUCCAUUUGACAGACUCGGGGAACUGAGGCCAUACAACCAGCAGGGAGCGGACCUGAGGUGGGCACCCAUGUGCACUUGCUUGUAAAUGUGCACUCUUGGCGUCGUUCCGGGCUGAGGCAGGAGGGGAACCAGCAAAUGCACAAGGGAGCCCUUGGAACACACACAUCCCUGCUGAUGACCCUCUCCUUCUCACUUCAGUUUCCCAAACAUUUCCUGUGAUUAAGGAAGGGAAUUAAUUAUUGAUGAGGCAGCAGGCCAGCACAGAUAGAAAUCCCACUCGGACUGGACACGUUGCCCCUGUGGAGAGCUGGGAUUACCGUGGAGGAGAAUCGUUUUGCUCUUCCUUCAAGAAAAGGCCUGAACAAUUGGUCAGCGCCCAGCAGCCUGGUCUUUGGGCCCAAAUGGGCAUGGCUCUAAUUAAAGGCUGUUACUCAGGCCACCUGGUCUGUUCUCUCCCCGUGAAGUGCAUUGCGCCAAAAGGUAUAUCACGUCAAGGUAGAAAGUGGAAAUCUAACAAAACGUUUCAUCGCUGAAUAUUGGGAUGUGCCACAGUGCAAAGAAAGAUCACUCAUUCCAGCCAGUGGAAUGCAUUUAAUAUUGUCCAAUCCUAAGAAGGACUGACUGCAAGAUCCAAGCUGAAUGGUAUCCAGACAUCUUAGCAUGGCCCACAAGGUCUUCCAUGAUGUGCCUUCGCUGAUCUCGGCUUCCCCACGAGGUCAUGAUCAUCCCGCCCCAAGGCCUGUGCCAUUCCCUGGGCUGGACUACCUUCUCCACCGAUCUCAGGGAUGGCUCCCAUUGGUUCCAGUUUCAGCUGAAAAUGUCACCUUCUCAGAGACCUCUUCCUCUGUCCCAGGGCACAGCCUUUCACAUGACCCUGUCAUUUCUCGUCUUUGUAACAUCGAGUCUGUGUGAAUACCUCUGCUUUGAUUUCCGCUGCCGUCUGUCUCCAUCACUAAAAUGAAACUCCCUGAAAGUAGGAAUGGCAGCAUCACUGAUAUCGUCUGUGUGGAUGGUGCCCCUGGAGCUGGGCAGUACACAGCCUGUACAGCUGCAUCCUGGGGCCCCGAUUCAACAAUAUGUACUGGGCUCCACGCCCAGCAUGGAGCCAAGCGCAGGGCUUGAACUCAUGACCCUGAGAUCAACAACCGAGCUGAGAUCAAGAGUUGGAUGCUCAACCAACUGAGCCAUCCGGAAACCAAGACAAGAAAAAUGAAGUGUACCUGACACAGGGAAUGAGGGGAGUCAUUUGGAUGACAGAGUACCAGCUCCCCAUAAAAUGCUUGGAGUGAGAGAGGCAGUGGGACAGAAGGCGCCAGGCACAGUGCUCAUAUCUGACUUCACGCUGGAAUUUUUAUAGCAUGAAUAUUUGAUGACAGCCCUCUCCAAGCACAAGCUCCUUCCUCUCCUUCUAGAAGGUAAUAGCAGUCAAGUCAACCUUUAAAUUGUUGUGACCAUCACACUGAAAUUUCAACUGCAUUUUGGAUUUACAUUAUCAGUAACAAUUGGGAAAAUUGUUGUAUAUCUUAAAGUAACCACACAUAUUGUUGUUAUGCCUUGAAAUAGUACAUGUAUUUCCUCAAAAAAUCUUUUUCCUGGGAAGUCGUAUCUUCUGCCACCAGCAAUGUUUCAACGUGGCAGUUGUCAUGGUAAUGUCUAAUUAUUAUUACCAGUAAACUAUUCCAGAUCUAGAUUUGGGUACAGGCAAGAUAUACUCCAGGGGGAAAAAAAUGAUGGCAAAAACUCUUAACCACUAUUUCCUUUGUUAAAAAAUUGCAUUCGGGUCACUUAAUUCUACCCAUGACAUCAAGGAUGCCUAUUUUUAUGAAAAGCUGGUUUUAUACAGCAGGAAAAUUGGCCCUUUCGUUAUGAUGCCUAAUGAUUCAUGGCUGUUAGGGAACUCUUUCACAGAACAAAGCAGAUUGGAUUUGGUGGUGGACUUUGCAUUCCACAGCAUCUCUUAGGGUCUCUAUGGGGUCAGGGAUUUAAGUCUUAGAAAUUGCGCUUGGGCUCCAAGUUGUCCAGUUUCAUUUUCUGGAGUUUCUGAGGGCAAUUGUAAAACUGGUAAAGAGGCAACAAUGUGAGUUGAUGCAAAACACUGCUGCCCAUGAAAAGACCCAGAGGCACCAAGGGUCUCAGUUCUUAGCAGUGAGACAGAGAUGCUCACUAAGAAGGGAAUGAAGCAUGGACAAUAGAAAAACGUGGCUGUAACAGGGGUGAUCAAAAUCAUGUAAAAUGAGUUAAACCUUUAGAAAUUAGAUAGGCACACUCUCUAGGUGGGAUAGCCAAGGUUUUUCUGGUCCCAGAAGCAUCUCACUGAGUUGCUGGAAGAGAAUUCUUUCCUAUAUAUACUUGUUCUUUUCAUCUGGGUUCCUGAUUCUUUCGUUUAGAUCUGUGCAUAAGAGCCAGGUUUUGGGAAUCGUGGGGCACAUCAUGUUCGAACAAACUUCUGAGCACUUAGUAUAUCUAGAGUGAUAAAUACCCUAUUUCCUGAGUUCUACCAAGUCCAUCUGUCAAGUUAAUGCCAGGAUGCAGGAAGAACACUGUAUGGAUAUAAUAAGUUAUAUCCCAGUUCAGAAAUUUUAAAAUAUGAGAAGAAAAAGAGAGUUUAUCUUAGAAUAGGGUGCUGUGGGAUAUUCAAGAAUGCAGUUAUAUUUAAGAAUAUGGCUUUAAAUCAGACUGACCUAGGUGUAAAUCCUGGCUCUGCCAUGGAUGAGUGAACUCGAACAAGUUAUUUAACCUCCCUAUGCUUCAGAUUUCUCAACUUUAAAUCGGGAUGAUGGGCAGUAUUUCAUCAUUUUUUGAAGAGCCUGAAAAUAUUGUUAGUAAAACAUCAAUAGCACCAUCAUCAUUGUCAUGCUCCCAAGGUCUGGGCUAGAGAUUCAAAAUGUGAUGGUUGUCAACAUACUGGCACCAAGUGAGGGAGUAAGCAUAGGGAGGAAGAAUUUAGCACUUGCUAUCUGGGUUUCAAUCGCCGCUCUGCAACUUCCUAACUGCAUGACCUUGGGCUUACUUGACCUCUUAGGGCUUUAAUUUUCUCGUUGGUAAAUACGAACCACCAUAGCACCGAUCUCUAAGAGUUCAUGGAAGGUUUAAACGAAUGACUAUACAUAACGUGACCAGCCCAAUGCCUGGUACGUGGUAAUCAAUAAUUAUUGGCAAUUUUUCUUUUAGUAUUAUACUCUAUUUACUUUAAAUAUCUUUUCUACUGUGGUAAAAUAUGCCAUAACAAAGUUUGCUGUUUUAACCACUCUUCUCCUUUGCGUGUCUACAGGUUUGUCUUCUCUAAGUGUCUCGGUGAGUGAAUUCGUAUAGCAUUUGGCCUCUUCUGACGGGCUCUUUUCACCUAAUGUAACGUCUUUGAGGUUGUUCCAAGUUGUCACACCUUUCAGAACUGCCUUUCUUUUUAAGGCUGAAUAAUAUUCCAUUGUGUGUAUAUAUCACAUUUUGUUUAUCCGUUCAUGUGUUGACGGACAUCUGGGUUGCUUCCCUCUUUUGGCUACUGUGAAUAGUGCUUCUGUGAACACUGGUGUAUACAAUGCUUAUUAAAACACAGCAUCAGGGAAUUCAUGCCAGCAGCAGCUGGAUAAGGAGAAAAAACUCAGGAGCUCCAACAUUUAAAGGACAGGCAAAGGAAGACUUACUUCUUUGGGAAAGUUCUUUGAAGGGUUCCAGGCAGAGGCAGGGUGUGGUGUCAUUCACGAAGUGUUCGCAAAACAUGUCACGAGUUUGAUUUAGGAUAGUGGCCUUGCACACGGGCAAGAGCGAACAAACAGAUAUACUGAGGAAAUACCACGAAAAGGGAUCAUACUAGCAAGAAGAGCCAUAAUCGAAACCUCACAGCCUCUUCAAGAAGGCUGUGCUGUCCUCAAGUGCUUACAACGUGCUUGGCUCUGCUAAGUCCGUUACAUCACAGCUUUAAUCCUCUCUGCUACCCCAAAGUAGACCAUCCCAUCUAGGGGGUGAGGAAAUCCACUAUUGUGUAACUGCUACCGUCUCAGUGAGCUAGUGCUCAAACUAGCACUUUGCCCUGCUCGGCCUGCUGCGAAACCCUGGGUUUAAAUGCCAUGUGCUCUGCGCCCAUCCUGAACAAGGCAAGAACUCAUUUCACAUUCAGCAAGGACUCUCCUGAAUCCUUGUGUCUGCCUGGUCUUUUGGCACUGUCUUAAAGACAUUUCCAGAAUCAAAGGAGGACCUUUAAGUGUCUAAUGGAUUUGACACAUGUAUAUUCUUAUUUUUUUGGCUUGCCAAAGAGACCCAAACAACAUCUGAGCCUGUGAUAUUCCUGAUCCUUUCUUCACUAAAUUUUCAAGUUAUGGUCUAUGGACCACAGCAUGUUAAAGCCAUACAAAGAACAGAGCAGAGGCCAGGAAUUUCCCUUGAUCAAAACCCCAUUCUAUUUUAGGUUCUAUAAAAAAGGCAGCUCAAGUAAGAAUGACACUUCCAGUUAUCUACUGCUGCUACCCAAAAACGUUAAUUUUUGUGGCGCAAUCAUGGCGUACCAUGCAAUUUACCACUUCCCAGGCAGUCCCUAAUCUUCCAUUUUCCUCCCAGGUAAGUUCACUUACGCCCAAUGGAAGAGACAUGGGCAGCCCACACCCUGAAUAUUUCCUCCUAGAAAUACUUGACAUGUGACAGAUUUGUUGGUGACUCCUCAGUAAUUAAAGUGUCAUAACAAGUUGAAAAGCCAUUUCUAGAGAUUCAACAGGCAAAAAUAAUUUCCUUUCUAUAAAAUGGUUAUGUUGCCAGCCAUAACUCUUAAACAGGACUGAAGUGAUAAUCAAACACAGUGAUAUAUGUAAAUUUGUUUUGCACACUAUAAAGGACCUUAUGUAUGUAAGGGAUUAUUAUUUUUAUUAUUACCAAUUGACCUGUUUUACAUUUGAUGUUACAAACUUGAAAGUCCUUUGCAUCAGAAAGCUAUUGACGUAUCAUGCGAAAAUCUAAAUUAAAUUCAAUCUUUAGCUUUUUCUCUAAGCAAGCUUAAAAACCUGGAAAAGUGGCGCAUGUGAUUCUGGGUUUAAAGGGGUGAUACGGACCCAGGUUCCUUAUCCUCAGCAUUGUCACUAUGGACAUUUUGGUCCAGAUCACACAUUGUUGUGAGGGCUGUCUUCUGCAUUGCUGGAUAUUUUGAAGUAUCCCUGGCCUCCACAUCUACCUCUGACCCAUGACAAUCAAAAAGUGUCUACACAUUGCAAAUGUGCCCCAGGAGGCAAAACUGCCCCAGACUGAGAACCACUCCUAUAGACAAUGGAGCUGGAAAGGCUGCUAUAACAGCAUGGACGAUGGAAAGUUCUAUAUAAUUGUAGAUUUUUCAGUGUUGUUUCUGCUUUAUGGGGGAAGCCCUUUUUAAUCCUUCUCCUUCACAAAUCUGCGAAGUUGAACUGAAAGUUCUGUGGUGUGGCACUGAAUUAUUGGCUGACUGUUGAGGCUUCUAGGGGAUUAGACUUACUUAGCUAAAUUAGCACUUGGAUUCUAUCAACAUGGAGACCCAGAAAUGAACAAAAGUGAAAGCAAAUGAGAUGUGUGCAAGUGAGUGGGGCAGGGGCAGGGGCAGGGGCAGA
Molecule: RNA transcript, 6359 nt
Organism: Neofelis nebulosa (Clouded leopard)
Lineage: Eukaryota; Metazoa; Chordata; Mammalia; Carnivora; Felidae
Exons: 7
Source: RefSeq, a predicted model, not a curated record